This is a small nucleolar RNA of Benincasa hispida (wax gourd), 124 nucleotides long. RefSeq annotates it as small nucleolar RNA snoR77. The record is from RefSeq and is a predicted model, not a curated record. NCBI's taxonomy places the organism in Eukaryota, Viridiplantae, Streptophyta, Magnoliopsida, Cucurbitales, Cucurbitaceae.
UUGCUCUUCCGAUUUGCAAUUUCAUGCGAAAGGAAGACGUCAAAUUGCUUGUACAUCGAAUGCUUAUGCUCUUCAAAUUUGCUGAGAUUUCCUUUGAAGAUGGUCUAGUAAACCCAAGAACAUU